ACCAACCUUACAGGGAGCCAGAACACAAGGGAAGAAGCCCUCUAAAGCAGAAGAUUUCCCAAGAGCCCAGGGAACUUCCGCUUACACCAGUAACGCAGGCAACCGUCAGGAGCGCGUGCGCAGAACCUCAUUCCCACAGCAACCCUCGCCCAACGAGGGCCUGGCCGGCCCAAACCGAUCUACCGCCCUCCCGAGGACUCACCGAGAAGUAUCCCAGCGUCAGGGCUGUGACAAGCGAGGGCAAGGGUCUGGCUACACGGAAGUAGGAGGUCUCGGCCCUCCCCACCCCAUCCAAACGCGCUGGAGCCAGGACUGCGCCUGCGCUGAACCCCUGCAGGCGAGUCCUGAGACCUUGCAGCACUAGCUCCGCUCCCUGGAUGGGUGGCCCUUGCCCUUACCGUGUAGUAGCCAAAGGAGAGGGUAAUGACUGUGAACCAGAACAGACUGCCCCUCCGGAAGUAGGCUGCACCACCUGCUACGGUCGCCAUCGCUGCAGCAUCUCCAGGGGAAUGAGCGGCCACCCACUUACGCGCGGGGGUGGGAGCUGGGUCGGACCUGGGAUGGGCGAGGGAGAGGCGUGCGCCACCGCGCGGGGUGAAGACAGAAAUCAGUCUCUCUAGUGCAUUCCUUCCUCCUCUCUCUCUUUGGCACCUGGGAUUGAACCCUGGGGCUCUCAACCUCUUGGAUCUUCUGAAUAAGUAUUUUCUCAGCUUUCCUUUUACUUCUUAUCCCCCAGAUUCAAGGUUGCCUGUGUUCUCUGUGCUUUCUGUACAUUUGAGAUUCAAUUUUCAUCUUCUUUUUCAUGACUCUAAAAUGCUCUUUCUAAUCUUGACGUCUCCCCAGAUAUCUGCUAGUCGUUUCACCAAAUAACCUGCACACAUCAAAAACAGAGUCUACGCUCACAAUUCACAGUCAGUUCUGACUACAGCUCCCCUAUUUAUGUAAAUAGCACUCUCCUUCUACGCUGUACCCCCCAUACCUAGUUAACUGUAGAGAAUCCUCUUGUUGGGGUAACAUGACAUCUCAUUCUUUUGGAUUAAACCAUGGUUUGUUUAAUCCCCA
Molecule: long non-coding RNA, 1062 nt
Organism: Marmota flaviventris (yellow-bellied marmot)
Lineage: Eukaryota; Metazoa; Chordata; Mammalia; Rodentia; Sciuridae
Source: RefSeq, a predicted model, not a curated record